GCCAAGCUUAUUUUUGUACUUAGUGUUGAGUAGCUUAUUUUGCUAUAACAUUAAAAAUUAGUU
Molecule: transfer RNA, 63 nt
Filed under: Crassostrea tulipa
Lineage: Eukaryota; Metazoa; Mollusca; Bivalvia; Ostreida; Ostreidae
Description: tRNA-Leu
Source: RNAcentral